RNAcentral lists this ribosomal RNA (467 nucleotides) under uncultured bacterium. RNAcentral describes it as "partial 16S ribosomal RNA". It matches the Rfam family "Bacterial small subunit ribosomal RNA", at positions 28 to 507 of the family's 1533-position model. The record is from RNAcentral.
GACGAACGCUGGCGGCGUGCUUAACACAUGCAAGUCGAACGGAAAGGCCUCUUUCGGGGGGUACUCGAGUGGCGAACGGGUGAGUAACACGUGAGUAACCUGCCCUUGACUUUGGGAUAACUUCAGGAAACUGGGGCUAAUACCGGAUAGGAGCUCCUGCUGCAUGGUGGGGGUUGGAAAGUUUCGGCGGUUGGGGAUGGACUCGCGGCUUAUCAGCUUGUUGGUGGGGUAGUGGCUUACCAAGGCUUUGACGGGUAGCCGGCCUGAGAGGGUGACCGGCCACAGUGGGACUGAGAUACGGCCCAGACGCCUACGGGAGGCAGCAGGGGGGAAUAUUGCACAAGGGGUGGAAGCCUGAUGCAGCAACGCCGUGGGCGGGAGGACGGCCUUCGGGUUGUAAACCGCUUUCGCUCAUGACGAAGCUUUGUGUGACGGUAGUGGGUAAAGAAGCACCGGCUAACUACGUG